Molecule: ribosomal RNA, 411 nt
Filed under: Bacteroidota bacterium
Lineage: Bacteria; Pseudomonadati; Bacteroidota
Description: Bacteroidetes bacterium partial 16S ribosomal RNA
Rfam family: Bacterial small subunit ribosomal RNA
Source: RNAcentral
UGGGGAAUAUUGCGCAAUGGGGGAAACCCUGACGCAGCGACGCCGCGUGCGGGAUGAAGGCCUUCGGGUUGUAAACCGCUUUUGAUUGGGAGCAAGCUUUCGGGUGAGUGUACCUUUCGAAUAAGCGCCGGCUAACUACGUGCCAGCAGCCGCGGUAAUACGUAGGGCGCAAGCGUUAUCCGGAAUUAUUGGGCGUAAAGAGCUUGUAGGCGGUUCGUCGCGUCUGGUGUGAAAGCCCAUCGCUUAACGGUGGGUUUGCACCGGGUACGGGCGGGCUAGAGUGCAGUAGGGGAGACUGGAAUUCCCGGUGUAACGGUGGAAUGUGUAGAUAUCGGGAAGAACACCAAUGGCGAAGGCAGGUCUCUGGGCUGUUACUGACGCGGAGAAGCGAAAGCGUGGGGAGCGAACAGG